This 583-nucleotide ribosomal RNA is filed under the name Vibrio cholerae. RNAcentral's name for it is "partial 23S ribosomal RNA". It matches the Rfam family "Bacterial large subunit ribosomal RNA", at positions 2267 to 2844 of the family's 2925-position model. Lineage: Bacteria; Pseudomonadati; Pseudomonadota; Gammaproteobacteria; Vibrionales; Vibrionaceae. The record is from RNAcentral.
AGUUUGACUGGGGCGGUCUCCUCCCAAAGAGUAACGGAGGAGCACGAAGGUGGGCUAAUCACGGUUGGACAUCGUGAGGUUAGUGCAAUGGCAUAAGCCCGCUUAACUGCGAGAAUGACGGUUCGAGCAGGUGCGAAAGCAGGUCAUAGUGAUCCGGUGGUUCUGUAUGGAAGGGCCAUCGCUCAACGGAUAAAAGGUACUCCGGGGAUAACAGGCUGAUACCGCCCAAGAGUUCAUAUCGACGGCGGUGUUUGGCACCUCGAUGUCGGCUCAUCACAUCCUGGGGCUGAAGUCGGUCCCAAGGGUAUGGCUGUUCGCCAUUUAAAGUGGUACGCGAGCUGGGUUUAGAACGUCGUGAGACAGUUCGGUCCCUAUCUGCCGUGGGCGUUGGAAGAUUGAAGGGGGCUGCUCCUAGUACGAGAGGACCGGAGUGGACGAACCUCUGGUGUUCGGGUUGUGUCGCCAGACGCAUUGCCCGGUAGCUAAGUUCGGAAUUGAUAAGCGCUGAAAGCAUCUAAGCGCGAAGCGAGCCCUGAGAUGAGUCUUCCCUGAUACUUUAAGUAUCCUAAAGGGUUGUUCGAGA